Triticum dicoccoides is the source of this 1694-nucleotide long non-coding RNA. RefSeq lists it as uncharacterized. The record is from RefSeq and is a predicted model, not a curated record. The transcript is spliced from 3 exons. Lineage: Eukaryota; Viridiplantae; Streptophyta; Magnoliopsida; Poales; Poaceae.
CCCGUCCUUUUCUAAUCUGCUGCAAACGGUUUUCGGCUGGUGGGCUCGACGUCGUGUUCGUCCCUGAGCAGAUGGGCGGCGUGACGUUCGGCGGCUGCCUAGGUCUCGAGCGGCGCCGUGGUUGGUGAUGGUUCCAUGACGGUGCAGGCUUAACGGUGUGAGCUCUCCGGGUUCUUGGAUACCAGGAAACGCAGCGGGGAUGCAACGACUACGAACUCUUCCUGCCCCGGCGACGGCGGUGCUGCUCCAUCUCGCCGGGUACGUCGAUGUCACGAAGCGUUCCACGCGCUUCGCUGCGCCAUCUUGUGAAAGAUGCAGUGCUUCCAAGAUUUAUAUCAAAGAGAGGCACAAAGAUGCAGUGCUUCCAAGCUGAUAUGCAAUGCUUUAUAGUAUGCCUUAUACGGUAAGAGUAUUUCCCCAUUCUCUAAUCCACACCUUAACUCAUUGGUUGUGAAUUUAUAGCAGCAACAGUUGAUGGACUUAGAAAAGUAUGCUCCUGAACCUGCAAACAACAAUUAACAUAGACACUUAGGAGCAUCCUAACUGCCUCACAUGAGCAGCAAAUAGAUUACAUAGGCAGUUAUCCUACAUAUCAAUUUUUGUACACGAUUAUUGAGAAGAGUAUGAUUUCUCAAAUGGGUUUGAUCCUCUCCAAAGGAAGCUUCACGGUACAAAUUUUUUUUUGAGGUGUGAAAGAGCAGAUUUAGCCAAAUCGCUCCUGGGGCUUUCUACCCCAGGGAGCUUAGUGAUUUAGGUGAUAUAGUAUACAUUUACAUUGCAUUGCCAAAUUUUUUUUACAAUGAAUACCCAGCACCAAAUUCCUGGCCACUGAACAUACAGGGUAACUUGUAUUACUUCUAUAGUUCAGUCCACUUCGAUUCUUACUAUUUAUUCAAGUUUCUGUUAUUUACAAACAAUGCUUCAACCAUUGUUGUUUGUGUUCGCGUUAUGACGUGUUGUGGCCUAAGGUGAGCUCGAGCCUGAACCCAUUAGUUUCGAUUCUACUACUUUUCUCGUAUAAGAUUUCAUGGUCAAGUUAAUUUUCAUUGCUCCAAACCUAGCAUUUGCAGUUGCUUGUUUCAGAAAUACAGGUUUUGCGUCAGAUUUCGGCCGUCAAGGUAAAUCCUUCCAGCUGUUGCGUAUUAUGGGCUUACUAUCUGUGCAGUCGUCUCAUAGAGUUACCACGACCCUAAUUUUCUAUGGAAUUUUCCUCCAUUCACCUUUUAUAUUUCCUUCAGAAACUCGAUCAGUUUUUUGGGAGGUCAGGUCCACUUAUAAGCAUUUGUGUAUUACAGGUUGAUAUUCUAAAGAUGCUUGUAAGGUGCCUUAUCUAUAUUAUUUUACUGAUGCUGACUAAUCAAAGACUGCCUACACAACUUGUCUUGUAUAAAUAAAAGAAAAAGUUGGCUCACUGACGCAUCAACUUCCUGAUCCACAUUUGCAGGCAUAUACAGUGCAGGAGGAUACAGAUAUGGGCACAACAAUGGAGCUAAUACUUCUACGAACAUGGUCAAUCCCUAAGAACAUUUUUGUUACAAAAGCUGGAUUUCGCUAAGACUGGAGGUGUCAACCUAAAUGCACAUAUAUCACACGGAAUGACAGCAGUCGAAAACCAUUUUAUCUGCAUUGUAUAAUUUUCCACACAGAUUAAUUACAAUAUUUAUUCUAUGUGCAUGAGUCCGCGCUUUGUGACA